Molecule: ribosomal RNA, 253 nt
Filed under: uncultured bacterium
Lineage: Bacteria
Description: partial 16S ribosomal RNA
Rfam family: Bacterial small subunit ribosomal RNA
Source: RNAcentral
AGCGAAACCGCGAGGUGGAGCAAAACUAUAAAAGACGAUCUCAGUUCGGACUGCAGGCUGCAACUCGCCUGCACGAAGUUGGAAUUGCUAGUAAUCGUGGAUCAGCAUGCCACGGUGAAUACGUUCCCGGGUCUUGUACACACCGCCCGUCACACCAUGGGAGCCGGUAAUACCCGAAGUCAGUAGUCUAACCGCAAGGAGAGCGCGGCCGAAGGUAAAACUGGUGAUUGGGGUGAAGUCGUAACAAGGUAUC